GGUUUCUCAAAAAAGGUGGCUUGUUAAAAUAGGUCUCAAAAAGAUUUAUUGCAAAGGGGUCUCAAAAGAUUUAUUGCAAAGGUGUCUCAAAUGAUUUGUUGCAAAGGGGUCUCAAAUGAUUUGUUGCAAAGGGGUCUCAAAUGAUUUGUUGCAAAAGGGUCUCAAAUGAUUUGUUGCAAAAGGUCUCAAAGAUUUAUUGCAAUAGGUCUCAAAGAUUUGUUUCAAUAGGUCUCAAAGAUUUGUUUCAAUGGUAUCAAAGAUUUGUUUCAAGGAUUGUAUUAGUAGCCAGAGUGGGAUAGAAGGGGGAUAGAAAGGCAGAGUGGCUUUUCAAUCAGAAAGAGUGGUAGAGGAGACAGGAAAGUCAGAGGGACCAAAAUGAUAGGGGAGAGUGGGGAGACUGGACAGGAUACCUGUAAGACACAAUGGAAAAAAACAUUAAUCUUUUUUUAUUAAAGAAAUAAAAUUAAAUGAU
This is a non-coding RNA of Xyrichtys novacula (pearly razorfish), 472 nucleotides long. The record is from the annotation of a GenBank genome assembly. Lineage: Eukaryota; Metazoa; Chordata; Actinopteri; Labriformes; Labridae.